RNAcentral lists this ribosomal RNA (268 nucleotides) under uncultured bacterium. RNAcentral's name for it is "partial 16S ribosomal RNA". It matches the Rfam family "Bacterial small subunit ribosomal RNA", at positions 524 to 791 of the family's 1533-position model. The record is from RNAcentral.
UACGAAGGGGGCUAGCGUUGCUCGGAAUCACUGGGCGUAAAGCGCACGUAGGCGGAUUGCUAAGUCAGGGGUGAAAUCCUGGAGCUCAACUCCAGAACUGCCUUUGAUACUGGCGAUCUUGAGUCCGGGAGAGGUGAGUGGAACUGCGAGUGUAGAGGUGAAAUUCGUAGAUAUUCGCAAGAACACCAGUGGCGAAGGCGGCUCACUGGCCCGGUACUGACGCUGAGGUGCGAAAGCGUGGGGAGCAAACAGGAGUAGAUACCCCGGU